This 772-nucleotide ribosomal RNA is filed under the name proteobacterium enrichment culture clone E216. Its description in RNAcentral is "bacterial SSU rRNA". It matches the Rfam family "Bacterial small subunit ribosomal RNA", at positions 104 to 873 of the family's 1533-position model. The record is from RNAcentral. Lineage: Bacteria; Pseudomonadati; Pseudomonadota.
GGGUGAGUAAUACAUCGGAACGUGCCCGAUCGUGGGGGAUAGCUCGGCGAAAGCCGGAUUAAUACCGCAUACGAUCUACGGAUGAAAGCAGGGGACCGCAAGGCCUUGCGCGAACGGAGCGGCCGAUGGCAGAUUAGGUAGUUGGUGGGGUAAAGGCUCACCAAGCCGACGAUCUGUAGCUGGUCUGAGAGGACGACCAGCCACACUGGGACUGAGACACGGCCCAGACUCCUACGGGAGGCAGCAGUGGGGAAUUUUGGACAAUGGGCGCAAGCCUGAUCCAGCAAUGCCGCGUGCAGGAUGAAGGCCUUCGGGUUGUAAACUGCUUUUGUACGGAACGAAAAGGCUCUGGUUAAUACCUGGGGCUCAUGACGGUACCGUAAGAAUAAGCACCGGCUAACUACGUGCCAGCAGCCGCGGUAAUACGUAGGGUGCGAGCGUUAAUCGGAAUUACUGGGCGUAAAGCGUGCGCAGGCGGUGAUGUAAGACAGUUGUGAAAUCCCCGGGCUCAACCUGGGAACUGCAUCUGUGACUGCAUCGCUGGAGUGCGGCAGAGGGGGAUGGAAUUCCGCGUGUAGCAGUGAAAUGCGUAGAUAUGCGGAGGAACACCGAUGGCGAAGGCAAUCCCCUGGGCCUGCACUGACGCUCAUGCACGAAAGCGUGGGGAGCAAACAGGAUUAGAUACCCUGGUAGUCCACGCCCUAAACGAUGUCAACUGGUUGUUGGGAAUUUGCUUUCUCAGUAACGAAGCUAACGCGUGAAGUUGACCGCC